RNAcentral lists this ribosomal RNA (497 nucleotides) under uncultured bacterium. RNAcentral describes it as "partial 16S ribosomal RNA". It matches the Rfam family "Bacterial small subunit ribosomal RNA", at positions 28 to 507 of the family's 1533-position model. The record is from RNAcentral.
GAUGAACGCUGGCGGCGUGCCUAAUACAUGCAAGUCGAGCGAACGGACGAGAAGCUUGCUUUUCUGAUGUUAGCGGCGGACGGGUGAGUAACACGUGGAUAACCUACCUAUAAGACUGGGAUAACUUCGGGAAACCGGAGCUAAUACCGGAUAAUAUUUUGAACCGCAUGGUUCAAAAGUGAAAGACGGUCUUGCUGUCACUUAUAGAUGGAUCCGCGCUGCAUUAGCUAGUUGGUAAGGUAACGGCUUACCAAGGCAACGAUGCAUAGCCGACCUGAGAGGGGGAUCGGCCACACGGGAACUGGGACACGGUCAAGACUCCUACGGGAGGCAGCAGUAGGGAAUCUUCCGCAAUGGGCGAAAGCCUGACGGAGCAACGCCGCGUGAGUGAUGGAGGUCUUCGGAUCGUAAAACUCUGUUAUUAGGGAAGAACAUAUGUGUAAGUAACUGUGCACAUCUUGACGGUACCUAAUCAGAAAGCCACGGCUAACUACGUG